RNAcentral lists this ribosomal RNA (483 nucleotides) under Escherichia coli. Its description in RNAcentral is "partial 23S ribosomal RNA". It matches the Rfam family "Bacterial large subunit ribosomal RNA", at positions 1 to 523 of the family's 2925-position model. The record is from RNAcentral. Lineage: Bacteria; Pseudomonadati; Pseudomonadota; Gammaproteobacteria; Enterobacterales; Enterobacteriaceae.
GGUUAAGCGACUAAGCGUACACGGUGGAUGCCCUGGCAGUCAGAGGCGAUGAAGGACGUGCUAAUCUGCGAUAAGCGUCGGUAAGGUGAUAUGAACCGUUAUAACCGGCGAUUUCCGAAUGGGGAAACCCAGUGUGAUUCGUCACACUAUCAUUAACUGAAUCCAUAGGUUAAUGAGGCGAACCGGGGGAACUGAAACAUCUAAGUACCCCGAGGAAAAGAAAUCAACCGAGAUUCCCCCAGUAGCGGCGAGCGAACGGGGAGCAGCCCAGAGCCUGAAUCAGUGUGUGUGUUAGUGGAAGCGUCUGGAAAGGCGCGCGAUACAGGGUGACAGCCCCGUACACAAAAAUGCACAUACUGUGAGCUCGAUGAGUAGGGCGGGACACGUGGUAUCCUGUCUGAAUAUGGGGGGACCAUCCUCCAAGGCUAAAUACUCCUGACUGACCGAUAGUGAACCAGUACCGUGAGGGAAAGGCGAAAAGAA